This 428-nucleotide ribosomal RNA is filed under the name uncultured bacterium. RNAcentral's name for it is "partial 16S ribosomal RNA". It matches the Rfam family "Bacterial small subunit ribosomal RNA", at positions 354 to 796 of the family's 1533-position model. The record is from RNAcentral.
GUGGGGAAUAUUGGGCAAUGGGCGAAAGCCUGACCCAGCAACGCCGCGUGAGGGAAGAAGGCCUUCGGGUUGUAAACCUCUGUCCUUGGUGACGAAAAAAAUGACGGUAGCCAAGGAGGAAGCCCCGGCUAACUACGUGCCAGCAGCCGCGGUAAUACGUAGGGGGCGAGCGUUGUCCGGAAUUACUGGGCGUAAAGGGUGCGUAGGUGGCCUUUUAAGUUGGAUGUGAAAUACCCGGGCUUAACUUGGGGGGUGCAUCUAAUACUGGAGGGCUAGAGUGCAGGAGAGGGAAGCGGAAUUCCAAGUGUAGCGGUGAAAUGCGUAGAGAUUUGGAGGAACACCAGUGGCGAAGGCGGCUUUCUGGACGAAAACUGACGCUGAGGCGCGAAAGCCAGGGGAGCGAACGGGAUUAGAAACCCGAGUAGUCC